Molecule: long non-coding RNA, 1291 nt
Organism: Oncorhynchus gorbuscha (pink salmon)
Lineage: Eukaryota; Metazoa; Chordata; Actinopteri; Salmoniformes; Salmonidae
Exons: 3
Source: RefSeq, a predicted model, not a curated record
CUCCGGUUCAUUCAGGCUCUGUGGAAGAUGGUAAAGUCAGAACGUACCGAUUGUAGCUGUUGCUUUAAACUACCCUGGGUCGUUGUACAUUCAAGCCUAGCACUGCGCAGCAUUAUUUUCAGCGUCAAACCGCUUAAUGUUUUCAGAGCCGCUAUCACAUAAAUUAGCAGCGCGCCAGGCUGACAGCACGCUGUGGACGGGCAGAUUUUAUUCGCGUUCACUAACUCGUAACCAAAGAAAAAAUACAAUUUAGCUACUCGUGUGAUGUGACACAAACCCGUCGUAGCAAACUUCUGUCAACUUGCUAUUGAGACUGAAUGUGUUUGACUUACAUAGAGUGGUCAUAAUAUGGAUUAUGUGUAUAAUCCGUUUUUUACGCAAACCAAACUGUUGCAAAUUUAACAUGAAUAGCCCAUAGUCUACAUAAUAUUGUCUUGUCCAUUGUUUUGUUAUUUUAAGAAAACCAACACAAAUGUAUCAGUGUUUGUGUAUUCAUUUGAGAGUUCAAUUUACUUGCUAGAAAUAAGCGCAUCAGAACUUCCCAGUUUAUUCUCAUUUAGCAGCCUGGGGCACCAGUGGCUCAGAACACAUUUUGUGAUCUGAGGGGUGGAGCCUUUGGUUACUUCACCACAGACCCUGUGGUAUAAAGUAGGCAAAGGCUCCACCUCUCAGUGGCCACCUAGGUGAGGACUCAAAGAGAAACCUGAACAUACAGAGAGUACCCAAAGACAAAACAUUCCUAUGAGGCAGACGCCAGUACCAGUAUGGCAGAAUUCAUCAAGAAGGUGGUGUUGGAUGAAACCCCCAGUAAAAAGGGGAUAAAAAGGCUGGAGGACGAGCCAAACAGAGACGACAAGUCAUGGGACAGCAAAUCGGACUUUAGAUGGAAUGCCCGCUCUGCUUCGCACCCGGACCUAUGGAUUGUGGGUCAGAGCCUUACAUUGUGAAUGAGGGGGCUGGUUAGUGGAAGACCAAGUCGGAUUACGAAUUAGCAGGAGGAUUUAAUACUUUUUUUCACUGGGAGUGCCAAUUCAAAGAGCUUCUUUACCAGGUGGUGCCACUACCCACUACUCCCUUUAAUUAUUUUCAGAGACAUUUUUCUAUCAUGUUAUUGUAUUCGGGAUUCAGCGUGCUUGUGUGUACGUGUUUAUUUUUCAUUUUAUAAACUCUCUUUCUGACUUAUUUUCCAUUAAACAUUUUCAACUCCAUGUUUACUUUUUUGGUUUGUCAAAGUAUUUUUCUUGUUUUUCAAUUUUGAUUUUUUCCAAUAAAAAUGUGCAUACAUAAACAA